GGCGCGAUUCGCCCUNGGGUUCGAUUCCGGAGAGGGAGUAUGUGGUUUAAUUUGACUCAACACGCAAUUUGACUCAACAUGCAAUUUGACUCAACACGCAAUUUGACUCAACACGCAAUUUGACUCAACACGCAAUUUGACAAUUUGACUCAACACGCAAUUUGACUCAACACGCAAUUUGACUCAACACGCAUUCUGACUCAACACGCAAUUUGACUCAACACGCAAUUUGACUCAACACGCAUGGGUUCGAUUCCGGAGAGCGGUGGGCACCAAUUUGACUCAACACGCAUGGGUUCGAUUCCGGAGAGCGGUGGGCACCAAUUUGACUCAACACGCA
RNAcentral lists this ribosomal RNA (340 nucleotides) under uncultured eukaryote. RNAcentral's name for it is "partial 18S ribosomal RNA". The record is from RNAcentral.